This 643-nucleotide ribosomal RNA is filed under the name uncultured bacterium. RNAcentral's name for it is "bacterial SSU rRNA". It matches the Rfam family "Bacterial small subunit ribosomal RNA", at positions 846 to 1498 of the family's 1533-position model. The record is from RNAcentral.
CCACAGAGAAAGCGUUAAGCGCUCCACCUGGGGAGUACGCCGGCAACGGUGAAACUCAAAGGAAUUGACGGGGGCCCGCACAAGCGGAGGAACAUGUGGUUUAAUUCGAUGAUACGCGAGGAACCUUACCCGGGCUCAAACGUUGCAGGAAGGGUGUCUGAAAGGAUGCCCGUCUACGGACCUGCGACGAGGUGCUGCAUGGUUGUCGUCAGCUCGUGCCGUGAGGUGUCGGCUUAAGUGCCAUAACGAGCGCAACCCCUACCGCCAGUUGCCAACAGGCAAAGCUGGGGACUCUGGCGGGACUGCCGGCGCAAGCUGCGAGGAAGGCGGGGAUGACGUCAAAUCAGCACGGCCCUUACGUCCGGGGCGACACACGUGUUACAAUGGCAGGUACAGCGGGAAGCCACCUGGCGACAGGGAGCGGAACCCGAAAGCCUGUCUCAGUUCGGAUUGGAGUCUGCAACCCGACUCCAUGAAGCUGGAUUCGCUAGUAAUCGCGCAUCAGCCACGGCGCGGUGAAUACGUUCCCGGGCCUUGUACACACCGCCCGUCAAGCCAUGGGAGUCGGGAGUGCCUGAAGUGCGUGAGCGCGAGCAGCGCCCUAGGGCAAAACCGAUGACUGGGGCUAAGUCGUAACAAGGUA